ACGAACGCUGGCGGCGUGCUUAACACAUGCAAGUCGAACGGAAAGGCCCCUUUGGGGGUACUCGAGUGGCGAACGGGUGAGUAACACGUGAGUAACCUGCCCUUGACUUCGGGAAAACUUCUGGAAACUGGGGCCAAUACCGGAUAGGAAUUCUUGCUGCAGGGUGGGGGUUGGAAAGCUUCGGCGGGUUUGGAUGGACUCGCGGCUUAUCAGCUUGUUGGUGGGGUAGUGGCUUUCCAAGGCUUUGACGGGUAGCCGGCCUGAGAGGGCGACCGGCCACAUUGGGACUGAGAUACGGCCCAGACUCCUACGGGAGGCAGCAGUGGGGAAUAUUGCACAAUGGGCGGAAGCCUGAUGCAGCAACGCCGCGUGCGGGAUGACGGCCUUCGGGUUGUAAACCGCUUUCAGCAGGGGCGAAGCUUGUGGUGACGGUACCUGCAGAAGAAGCACCGGCUAACUACGUG
This 464-nucleotide ribosomal RNA is filed under the name uncultured bacterium. RNAcentral's name for it is "partial 16S ribosomal RNA". It matches the Rfam family "Bacterial small subunit ribosomal RNA", at positions 29 to 507 of the family's 1533-position model. The record is from RNAcentral.